RNAcentral lists this transfer RNA (77 nucleotides) under Leptobotia elongata (royal clown loach). Its description in RNAcentral is "tRNA-Ser". The record is from RNAcentral. Lineage: Eukaryota; Metazoa; Chordata; Actinopteri; Cypriniformes; Botiidae.
GAGGAAGGCCCGAGGCAAUAAGUACUGCUAAUCCUUAACCCCACGGUUAAACUCCGUGGUUUCCUCGCGCUUUCAAA